This 493-nucleotide ribosomal RNA is filed under the name uncultured bacterium. RNAcentral's name for it is "partial 16S ribosomal RNA". It matches the Rfam family "Bacterial small subunit ribosomal RNA", at positions 30 to 523 of the family's 1533-position model. The record is from RNAcentral.
AUUGAACGCUGGCGGCAUGCUUUACACAUGCAAGUCGAACGGUAACAGGUUAAGCUGACGAGUGGCGAACGGGUGAGUAAUGCAUCGGAACGUGCCCGAUCGUGGGGGAUAACGCAGCGAAAGCUGCGCUAAUACCGCAUACGAUCUGAGGAUGAAAGCGGGGGACCGUAAGGCCUCGCGCGAUCGGAGCGGCCGAUGUCAGAUUAGGUAGUUGGUGGGGUAAAGGCCCACCAAGCCGACGAUCUGUAGCUGGUCUGAGAGGACGACCAGCCACACUGGGACUGAGACACGGCCCAGACUCCUGCGGGAGGCAGCAGUUGGGAAUUUUGGACAAUGGGCGAAAGCCUGAUCCAGCAAUGCCGCGUGCAGGAAGAAGUCCUUCGGGUUGUAAACUGCUUUUGUACGGAGCGAAAAGGUCCUUUCUAAUACAAGGGGCUCAUGACGGUACCGUAAGAAUAAGCACCGGCCAACUACGUGCCAGCCGCCGCAGUAA